GCCUCUGUGGUCUAGUGGUAGAAGCUUCGAUUCAUGACCCUGAGGUCCCGGGUUCGAUUCCCGGGUGGGACC
This 72-nucleotide transfer RNA is filed under the name Plutella xylostella (diamondback moth). RNAcentral's name for it is "tRNA-Met". Lineage: Eukaryota; Metazoa; Arthropoda; Insecta; Lepidoptera; Plutellidae. The record is from RNAcentral.